UGGGGAAUAUUGCACAAUGGGCGCAAGCCUGAUGCAGCCAUGCCGCGUGUAUGAAGAAGGCCUUCGGGUUGUAAAGUACUUUCAGCGAGGAGGAAGGCGUUGUGGUUAAUAACCGCAACGAUUGACGUUACUCGCAGAAGAAGCACCGGCUAACUCCGUGCCAGCAGCCGCGGUAAUACGGAGGGUGCAAGCGUUAAUCGGAAUUACUGGGCGUAAAGCGCACGCAGGCGGGUUGUCAAGUCGGAUGUGAAAUCCCCGGGCUCAACCUGGGAACUGCAUCCGAAACUGGCAGGCUAGAGUCUUGUAGAGGGGGGUAGAAUUCCAGGUGUAGCGGUGAAAUGCGUAGAGAUCUGGAGGAAUACCGGUGGCGAAGGCGGCCCCCUGGACAAAGACUGACGCUCAGGUGCGAAAGCGUGGGGAGCAAACA
RNAcentral lists this ribosomal RNA (427 nucleotides) under uncultured bacterium. Its description in RNAcentral is "partial 16S ribosomal RNA". It matches the Rfam family "Bacterial small subunit ribosomal RNA", at positions 355 to 774 of the family's 1533-position model. The record is from RNAcentral.